This 301-nucleotide ribosomal RNA is filed under the name uncultured bacterium. Its description in RNAcentral is "partial 16S ribosomal RNA". It matches the Rfam family "Bacterial small subunit ribosomal RNA", at positions 509 to 808 of the family's 1533-position model. The record is from RNAcentral.
CAGUCGCCGCGGGAAUACGUAGGUGGCAAGCGUUGUCCGGAAUUAUUGGGCGUAAAGCGCGCGCAGGCGGAUCAGUUAGUCUGUCUUAAAAGUUCGGGGCUUAACCCCGUGAUGGGAUGGAAACUGCUGAUCUAGAGUAUCGGAGAGGAAAGUGGAAUUCCUAGUGUAGCGGUGAAAUGCGUAGAUAUUAGGAAGAACACCAGUGGCGAAGGCGACUUUCUGGACGAAAACUGACGCUGAGGCGCGAAAGCCAGGGGAGCGAACGGGAUUAGAUACCCCCGUAGUCCCUGUCUCUUAUACC